Molecule: ribosomal RNA, 827 nt
Filed under: Nocardia salmonicida
Lineage: Bacteria; Bacillati; Actinomycetota; Actinomycetes; Mycobacteriales; Nocardiaceae
Description: bacterial SSU rRNA
Rfam family: Bacterial small subunit ribosomal RNA
Source: RNAcentral
CAUGCAAGUCGAGCGGUAAGGCCCUUCGGGGUACACGAGCGGCGAACGGGUGAGUAACACGUGGGUGAUCUGCCUUGCACUUCGGGAUAAGCCUGGGAAACUGGGUCUAAUACCGGAUAUGACCACGGACUGCAUGGUUUGUGGUGGAAAGAUUUAUCGGUGCGAGAUGGGCCCGCGGCCUAUCAGCUUGUUGGUGAGGUAACGGCUCACCAAGGCGACGACGGGUAGCCGACCUGAGAGGGUGACCGGCCACACUGGGACUGAGACACGGCCCAGACUCCUACGGGAGGCAGCAGUGGGGAAUAUUGCACAAUGGGCGCAAGCCUGAUGCAGCGACGCCGCGUGCGGGAUGACGGCCUUCGGGUUGUAAACCGCUUUUGACAGGGACGAAGCGCAAGUGACUGUACCUGUAGAAUAAGGACCGGCCAACUACGUGCCAGCAGCCGCGGUAAUACGUAGGGUCCGAGCGUUGUCCGGAAUUACUGGGCGUAAAGAGCUUGUAGGCGGUUCGUCGCGUCGUUUGUGAAAACUUGGGGCUCAACCUUAAGCUUGCAGGCGAUACGGGCGGACUAGAGUACUUCAGGGGAGACUGGAAUUCCUGGUGUAGCGGUGAAAUGCGCAGAUAUCAGGAGGAACACCGGUGGCGAAGGCGGGUCUCUGGGAAGUAACUGACGCUGAGAAGCGAAAGCAUGGGUAGCAAACAGGAUUAGAUACCCUGGUAGUCCAUGCCGUAAACGGUGGGUACUAGGUGUGGGGCUCCUUCCACGGACUCCGUGCCGUAGCUNACGCAUUAAGUACCCCGCCUGGGGAGUACGGCCGCAAGGCUA